Molecule: long non-coding RNA, 2055 nt
Organism: Oncorhynchus keta (chum salmon)
Lineage: Eukaryota; Metazoa; Chordata; Actinopteri; Salmoniformes; Salmonidae
Exons: 3
Source: RefSeq, a predicted model, not a curated record
AUAAUUACUGCAGCAGGUUAGGAUAACUAAUGUAGCAGGUUAGGAUAACUAAUGUAGCAGGUUAGGAUAACUAAUGCAGCAGGUUAGGAUAACUAAUGCAGCAGGUUAGGAUAACUAAUGCAGCAGGUUAGGAUAACUAAUGCAGCAGGUUAGGAUAACUAAUGUAGCAGGUUAGGAUAACUAAUGCAGCAGGUUAGGAUAACUAAUGUAGCAGGUUAGGAUAACUAAUGUAGCAGGUUAGGAUAACUAAUGCAGCAGGUUACUAAUGCAGCAGGUUAGGAUAACUAAUGCAGCAGGUUAGGAUAACUAAUGCAGCAGGUUAGGAUAACUAAUGCAGCAGGUUAGGAUAACUAAUGCAGUAGGUUAGGAUAACUAAUGCAGUAGGUUAGGAGAAUGAAUGCAGCAGGUUAGGAUAACUAAUGUAGCAGGUUAGGAUAACUAAUGCAGCAGGUUAGGAUAACUAAUGCAGCAGGUUAGGAUAACUAAUGUAGCAGGUUAGGAUAACUAAUGUAGCAGGUUAGGAUAACUAAUGCAGCAGGUUAGGAUAACUAAUGCAGCAGGUUAGGAUAACUAAUGCAGCAGGUUAGGAUAACUAAUGCAGCAGGUUAGGAUAACUAAUGCAGCAGGUUAGGAUAACUAAUGCAGUAGGUUAGGAUAACUAAUGCAGUAGGUUAGGAUAACUAAUGCAGUAGGUUAGGAUAACUAAUGCAGUAGGUUAGGAUAACUAAUGCAGCAGGUUAGGAUAACUAAUGCAGCAGGUUAGGAUAACUAAUGCAGCAGGUUAGGAUAACUAAUGCAGCAGGUUAGGAUAACUAAUGCAGCAGGUUAGGAUAACUAAUGCAGUAGGUUAGGAUAACUAAUGCAGUAGGUUAGGAGAAUGAAUGCAGCAGGUUAGGAUAAUUAAUGCAGCAGGUUAGGAUAACUAAUGUAGCAGGUUAGGAUAACUAAUGCAGCAGGUUAGGAUAACUAAUGCAGCAGGUUAGGAUAACUAAUGCAGCAGGUUAGGAUAACUAAUGUAGCAGGUUAGGAUAACUAAUGCAGCAGGUUAGGAUAACUAAUGUAGCAGGUUAGGAUAACUAAUGUAGCAGGUUAGGAUAACUAAUGCAGCAGGUUACUAAUGCAGCAGGUUAGGAUAACUAAUGCAGCAGGUUAGGAUAACUAAUGCAGCAGGUUAGGAUAACUAAUGCAGCAGGUUAGGAUAACUAAUGCAGUAGGUUAGGAUAACUAAUGCAGUAGGUUAGGAGAAUGAAUGCAGCAGGUUAGGAUAACUAAUGUAGCAGGUUAGGAUAACUAAUGUAGCAGGUUAGGAUAACUAAUGCAGCAGGUUAGGAUAACUAAUGCAGCAGGUUAGGAUAACUAAUGCAGCAGGUUAGGAUAACUAAUGCAGCAGGUUAGGAUAACUAAUGCAGCAGGUUAGGAUAACUAAUGCAGCAGGUUAGGAUAACUAAUGCAGUAGGUUAGGAGAAUGAAUGCAGCAGGUUAGGAUAACUAAUGCAGCAGGUUAGGAUAACUAAUGCAGCAGGUUAGGAUAACUAAUGCAGCAGGUUAGGAUAACUAAUGCAGCAGGUUAGGAUAACUAAUGCAGCAGGUUAGGAUAACUAAUGUAGCAGGUUAGGAUAACUAAUGCAGCAGGUUAGGAUAACUAAUGCAGCAGGUUAGGAUAACUAAUGCAGCAGGGCAGCAGGUUAGGAUAACUAAUGCAGCAGGUUAGGAUAACUAAUGCAGCAGGUUAGGAUAACUAAUGCAGCAGGUUAGGAGAAUGAAUGCAGUAGGUUAGGAUAACUAAUGCAGCAGGUUAGGAGAAUGAAUGCAGUAGGUUAGGAUAAUUAAUGUAGCAGGUUAGGAUAAUUAAAGUAGCAGGUUAGGAUAAUUAACGUAGCAAGUUAGGCGAAAAAGUUUAAGGUUAGGUUUAGCUACAAUCCUACAGUUGUCGCCGACGCAACUCGAGCAUGCAACUUUUGGUACGAAGCUGUACUCCAUCUAGCCACAACCGUAGAAGCCACCAGUUCCCCCACACCUGCAAUGGUAUACUUUAAUCUGAGCACCCCCUCUUGC